UACGGAGUGGCAGACGGGUGAGUAACACGUGGGAACGUGCCCAAAGGUACGGAACAACUCCGGGAAACUGGAGCUAAUACCGUAUGUGCCCGAGAGGGGAAAGAUUUAUCGCCUUUGGAUCGGCCCGCGUCUGAUUAGCUAGUUGGCGGGGUAAUGGCCCACCAAGGCGACGAUCAGUAGCUGGUCUGAGAGGAUGACCAGCCACACUGGGACUGAGACACGGCCCAG
RNAcentral lists this ribosomal RNA (228 nucleotides) under uncultured bacterium. Its description in RNAcentral is "partial 16S ribosomal RNA". It matches the Rfam family "Bacterial small subunit ribosomal RNA", at positions 89 to 334 of the family's 1533-position model. The record is from RNAcentral.